CGGAGGAUCCAAGCGUUGUCCGGAUUCAUUGGGUUUAAAGGGUGCGUAGGCGGAGAAUUAAGUCAGUGGUGAAAGCUUACAGCUUAACUGUAAAAAUGCCAUUGAAACUGAUUUUCUUGAGUUCGAUUGAGGUAGAUGGAAUGUAUCAUGUAGCGGUGAAAUGCUUAGAUAUGAUACAGAACACCAAUUGCGAAGGCAGUCUACUAAGUCGAUACUGACGCUGAGGCACGAAAGCAUGGGGAGCAAACAGGAUUAGAUACCCUGGUAGUCCAUGCCCUAAACGUUGAUUACUCGUUGUUGGCGAUACACUGUCAGCGACUAAGCGAAAGCGUUAAGUAAUCCACCUGGGGAGUACGAUCGCAAGGUUG
RNAcentral lists this ribosomal RNA (368 nucleotides) under uncultured organism. Its description in RNAcentral is "bacterial SSU rRNA". It matches the Rfam family "Bacterial small subunit ribosomal RNA", at positions 526 to 896 of the family's 1533-position model. The record is from RNAcentral.